AUCUAGCCGAUGGGUUUCAAAUAGUACGAAACACGUGUCCUGGAU
Molecule: non-coding RNA, 45 nt
Filed under: Schistosoma mattheei
Lineage: Eukaryota; Metazoa; Platyhelminthes; Trematoda; Strigeidida; Schistosomatidae
Source: RNAcentral